Long non-coding RNA from Magallana angulata, 760 nucleotides. RefSeq lists it as uncharacterized. Lineage: Eukaryota; Metazoa; Mollusca; Bivalvia; Ostreida; Ostreidae. The transcript is spliced from 2 exons. The record is from RefSeq and is a predicted model, not a curated record.
UUACCCGGUCGCGAUGAAAUUAUCAAAUUUUACGCACUUUUUGAAGCCAGGAGAAUACUAACAUCAAAUAAAUUGGUCAAUGCACUAUUUACGAACAGAAAAUGAACAUAAGAUAAGAAAAAAAUGAAUAAAAUCUAAAGACCACGAAAGGAAUACUACAUGUCGGCCACGAGGUUCAGGUGUGCAAUCGGGUGUAACGAAAUCGAAGGGUUUAUAUACCAGGUAUCUGUGUGACGGUGCCUAUUUACGAGCGGUGUUCGGCUUUAAGUAUUUGUAAAUACCCAUAUUGAACCUCAGUUCACUGGGCCUUAAACCCGCCAGUCCGUGCAGUAACAGUUUGGACGCGGCAGUCCAGAGGGAAGGACGUACUUAUACUUCUCUCGUGCAUACCAUCCAGUCACUAUGCAUAUUGUUAAUAUAAAUAGCUGUGUGCAAACUCUGGAGUGAACCUGGUACUGGCUUUUUCUGAGGUCCCUUUUUCCAGCCAUUGUGUAAACCACUUUCAUCGAUGGUUGCCGAAUAUUGGUGAAGUCUUGUGUAGACUAAGUGGCCAGUAGAGAACAUUGUCCAGUGGAGGACCUUACCAGUCUAUUCUUGUUUAGACCAAGUGGCAAUAGACUACAGUGAAGGACCUUACCAGUUCCCAUACUAGGACAAUUACUUUCAAUAUGUGUCGAUUCAAACUAUACUAAAUAUGUAAAAGCAAUGUAAAAAUAUUGUCUUAUUCUUUGUCUUACAGUAAAUAUGAAUUUUAAUUAAU